Molecule: non-coding RNA, 119 nt
Organism: Ciona savignyi (Pacific transparent sea squirt)
Lineage: Eukaryota; Metazoa; Chordata; Ascidiacea; Phlebobranchia; Cionidae
Source: Rfam
GCUUAUCACUAUUCCAGAUUGAAUAUACCCGAUCUCGUUUGAUCUCGGAAGUCAAGCAAACUCUGGCUUGGUUAGUACUUGGAUGGGUGAGAAUUUGGGAAUACCAAGUGUGAUAAGCA